Molecule: non-coding RNA, 1524 nt
Organism: Leptonychotes weddellii (Weddell seal)
Lineage: Eukaryota; Metazoa; Chordata; Mammalia; Carnivora; Phocidae
Source: RefSeq, a predicted model, not a curated record
AAGCGGGCACACAGGGAACCCAUCUUACCUGGGCUUCUGGCUGAACUUGCAUUUGCAUUUCCCACCUGUCAGGGGAAUAGGGAUGGUUGGGGGAGGGGACCCACAGCCCUGCCCUACCAGCUCAGCCACCAGUGUCCCCACUCACUCAUGAGGACGAUGAUGCCGAUGGUGCACAGAACCGCGGCGCAGAUGAGCCCGCCGAUCCGGAGUCUGCGCCAGUCUAGGAGAAACCCAGAUGAGGCCAUCAGUGCCUGCCUGUGUCCUCCCUGUCCAAACCUCCAUCUAUUUGACAGGUUUUAAUCUGGUUGGCUCAGAACCACUCUUUGGCCUCAUGUUUCCAGACACCUGGCAUCCUCCCUCCUGCAGAAACCGAACAACAUUCUUGUCAAGACAACAGACGCUGGGGAAACUGAGGCACAAAGGAUUUGCAUAACUGCUGCAUCCGCGAAGCUCCCAGUUACCUCUCGUAAUAAAGUGCAAGGGAGGUGAUGAAGACACAGCACCCGGGGCUGAGCCCUCUCAUCAAGGACACCUCAAGGGGGUGACUAGCUGUGUGAGACGCUGCUGUAAGGGGUCCUGUCUUUGUGUGUGCACCUUGAAAGCCCCAGGGCGACACUUGUGACCCUCAAGGAGAUGCCGUCCAGCUAGUCACCGCCGCACAGGGGAGGCGGAAAGCACGAGAGAGAGAGAGAGAGAGAGAGACACAUACAUGCAGGGCUUGGCCACCCCUCAGUGGAGGGGUCUGGGGAAAAGGCAGUCCGGGACACAGGCACUCACCUGCCAGGAGGAUGAACAGGCUCAGUGUCACCUCUUGCAUGUCAGCCAGCUGGCCUGGAGGGGUAGGGGUGGGUGGGGAGGGUCCAGCUUUAGUAGGCCGGGCGGUGCCAGACCGGUGCUUCUGGGUCCCCAUCCUCUCCUACUCUGCUCCCGCCCAGGAUACACAGCUCGCCCCAGGGCAGAGAGGCCUGGCUGGGAGAUGAGAAGGAGCCGCCAAGUGCAGGGGGUGGGUGACAACGCAGACUUGGAGAGGAGUCGCACGAAUCACUCACUCGACACAGACUUGGGGCUUUACGUGAAUGGCCCUGGUGACCAAAUGAGGGAGGCGCUGCCUGCUGUUAGCCCCAUCUUACAGAUGGGGAAACUGAGGCUCUGAAAGCUGAAAAUGGGUGCAUAGGGUCACCUCGCGAGAGAGUGGGAUUUAAAGCAGCCUGGCUCUGCCGUGGCUCUUUGUCGCUCAGGACUCUCAGGGCCUCGGGGUGUUUUGGGAAACGGGAUGGAGGGAGCCAGGUGUCAGGAGGCCCGGUUCCCGGGUGUGUCUCUCGGAGACAGCUCAGAGCCUGCCCGCCCUGCCCAGACUCUGCAGACCUCGGGCUGGCUCCUCAGGCUGCUCAGAGCAGGGUGUGGGGAGGAGAGAACUAGAGGCUGGGGCAGGGGUGGGGGCCAGAGCAGGGAGGAGUCACCGGGCUGUAGCCCUAGCCCCGACUUCUGCCCCCCACAACCCCUCGUUUCUGUCCUGCCUCUGCC